RNAcentral lists this long non-coding RNA (238 nucleotides) under Capsicum annuum. RNAcentral's name for it is "long non-coding RNA (CANN_LNC019362)". The record is from RNAcentral. Lineage: Eukaryota; Viridiplantae; Streptophyta; Magnoliopsida; Solanales; Solanaceae.
AUGGAAUGUCCAUGUGAUCGAAAUGGUGAGAUCAUGAUAUGUUAGCAUGUUUUUCCAUUCAUGUACAAGUUCAAACAUUUGUCCAAGUGCCUUAGUGAUGUAUUGUGGACAUUUGAUCAUCGUUAUGUUUUCAAGUAUUGUCGUAUCUUAUUAUUAUUGAUGCUAUCGAGUCCUGAGGGUAUUUAAUACCCAGAAGUCUAGCUAUUUACCUAGAUCCACAGUUAGUUACAGAAUAGUA